GGCGAGGGGAGUGAAAAAGAACCUGAAACCGUGUACGUACAAGCAGUGGGAGCACCCUUCGGGGUGUGACUGCGUACCUUUUGUAUAAUGGGUCAGCGACUUAUAUUCUGUAGCAAGGUUAACCGUAUAGGGGAGCCGGAGGGAAACCGAGUCUUAAUUGGGCGUUAAGUUGCAGGGUAUAGACCCGAAACCCGGUGAUCUAGCCAUGGGCAGGUUGAAGGUUGGGUAACACUAACUGGAGGACCGAACCGACUAAUGUUGAAAAAUUAGCGGAUGACCUGUGGCUGGGGGUGAAAGGCCAAUCAAACCGGGAGAUAGCUGGUUCUCCCCGAAAGCUAUUUAGGUAGCGCCUCGUGAAUUCAUCUCCGGGGGUAGAGCACUGUUUCGGCUAGGGGGCCAUCCCGGCUUACCAACCCGAUGCAAACUGCGAAUACCGGAGAAUGUUAUCACGGGAGACACACGGCGGGUGCUAACGUCCGUCGUGAAGAGGGAAACAACCCAGACCGCCAGCUAAGGUCCCAAAGUCAUGGUUAAGUGGGAAACGAUGUGGGAAGGCCCAGACAGCCAGGAUGUUGGCUUAGAAGCAGCCAUCAUUUAAAGAAAGCGUAAUAGCUCACUGGUCGAGUCGGCCUGCGCGGAAGAUGUAACGGGGCUAAACCAUGCACCGAAGCUGCGGCAGCGAACGUAUCACCCAAGACAACUUUACGGAGUUGACGAUUGACGGAGCGAAGCGACGUCAAAGCGUUCAUUAAAGUCGAGUUGGCUUAGGGAUACGUUCGUUGGGUAGGGGAGCGUUCUGUAAGCCUGUGAAGGUGUGUCGUGAGGCAUGCUGGAGGUAUCAGAAGUGCGAAUGCUGACAUAAGUAACGAUAAAGCGGGUGAAAAGCCCGCUCGCCGGAAGACCAAGGGUUCCUGUCCAACGUUAAUCGGGGCAGGGUGAGUCGACCCCUAAGGCGAGGCCGAAAGGCGUAGUCGAUGGGAAACGGGUUAAUAUUCCCGUACUUGGUGUUACUGCGAAGGGGGGACGGAGAAGGCUAUGUUGGCCGGGCGACGGUUGUCCCGGUUUAAGCGUGUAGGUGUGUGUUCCAGGUAAAUCCGGUUCACUUUAACACUGAGGCGUGACGACGAGGCACUACGGUGCUGAAGCAACAAAUGCCCUGCUUCCAGGAAAAGCCUCUAAGCAUCAGGUAACAUCAAAUCGUACCCCAAACCGACACAGGUGGUCAGGUAGAGAAUACCAAGGCGCUUGAGAGAACUCGGGUGAAGGAACUAGGCAAAAUGGUGCCGUAACUUCGGGAGAAGGCACGCUGACACGUAGGUGAAGU
RNAcentral lists this ribosomal RNA (1324 nucleotides) under Salmonella enterica subsp. enterica serovar Typhimurium. RNAcentral's name for it is "partial 23S ribosomal RNA". It matches the Rfam family "Bacterial large subunit ribosomal RNA", at positions 528 to 1772 of the family's 2925-position model. Lineage: Bacteria; Pseudomonadati; Pseudomonadota; Gammaproteobacteria; Enterobacterales; Enterobacteriaceae. The record is from RNAcentral.